UAAAGAGCCGCGGUAUUUUGACCGUGCAAAGGUAGCAUAAUCAUUAGUCUCUUAAUUAGAGGCAUUGGAAUGAAUGGUUUGACGAGAAAUUAACUGUCUCUUAAUAAGUUUUAAAAUUUAACUUUUGAGUCAAAAGGCUUAAAUUUUUCUUUAGGACGAGAAGACCCUAUAGAGCUUGACAUUUUAAUUUUAUAUUUUUUAAAGAUAGUCUUUUUGUAUUUAAUGAUAAUGUUUUGUUGGGGUGACAUGAAGAAUAGAAAAACUCUUUAUUAUAAAAUCAUUAAUUUAUGUUUAUUUUGAUCCAUAAUUUAUGAUCAUAAGAUUAAGUUACCUUAGGGAUAACAGCGUAAUUGUUUUUGAGAGCUCAUAUUGACAAAGCAGAUUGCGACCUCGAUGUUGGAUUAACAAAAAUUCUGGGUGUAGU
This 424-nucleotide ribosomal RNA is filed under the name Stenobothrus lineatus. Its description in RNAcentral is "partial large subunit ribosomal RNA". It matches the Rfam family "Archaeal large subunit ribosomal RNA", at positions 2001 to 2628 of the family's 2987-position model. The record is from RNAcentral. Lineage: Eukaryota; Metazoa; Arthropoda; Insecta; Orthoptera; Acrididae.